GAAAUUACUUACCAGGGUACUGUUAGUUAAGAUCUUUAAACCCAAAGAAUUUGGCGGUAUCUCAUUCCAUUCAGAGGAACCUACCCCGUGAUUGAUAGUACACGAUUAACUUUACUUAAUUUAUUUGUUUGUAUAUCUCCGUUAUCAGAAAAUCUUUUUAGAGUUAUAAUUUUCUUGAUUCAAAAUUAUGAAAUAUUUCAGGUCAAGGUGCAGCUUAUAGUUAAGAGGAGGUGGGUUACAAUAGGUUAUUGUCUAUUACGGAUUUGAUGAUGAAAAAUUGUUAAUGAAGGUGGAUUUGAUUGUAAUUUAAUUUAUUUAUUAAUGAAGCAGAUAAUCAUAUAG
This 342-nucleotide ribosomal RNA is filed under the name Spathosternum prasiniferum prasiniferum. Its description in RNAcentral is "partial 12S ribosomal RNA". Lineage: Eukaryota; Metazoa; Arthropoda; Insecta; Orthoptera; Acrididae. The record is from RNAcentral.